Molecule: ribosomal RNA, 698 nt
Filed under: uncultured bacterium
Lineage: Bacteria
Description: bacterial SSU rRNA
Rfam family: Bacterial small subunit ribosomal RNA
Source: RNAcentral
AACGAACGCUGGCGGCAUGCCUAACACAUGCAAGUCGAACGGGAUCCAGGCUUCGGCCUGGUGAGAGUGGCGGACGGGUGAGUAACGCGUGGGAACCUGCCCAAUGGUCUGGGAUAACCGCGGGAAACUGCGGCUAAUACCGGAUAAGCCCGAGAGGGGAAAGAUUUAUCGCCGAUGGAGGGGCCCGCGUCCGAUAAGGUAGUUGGUGAGGUAACGGCUCACCAAGCCGACGAUCGGUAGCUGGUCUGAGAGGAUGAUCAGCCACACUGGGACUGAGAUACGGCCCAGACUCCUACGGGAGGCAGCAGUGGGGAAUAUUGGACAAUGGGGGCAACCCUGAUCCAGCAAUGCCGCGUGAGUGAUGAAGGCCUUAGGGUUGUAAAGCUCUUUUGCCAGGGACGAUGAUGACGGUACCUGGAGAAUAAGCCCCGGCUAACUUCGUGCCAGCAGCCGCGGUAAUACGAAGGGGGCGAGCGUUGUUCGGAAUUACUGGGCGUAAAGGGCGCGUAGGCGGCGACUCAAGUUAGAUGUGAAAGUCCUGGACUUAACCUGGGGACUGCAUUUGAUACCGGGUUGCUUGAAUUCGGGAGAGGAUAGCGGAAUUCCCAGUGUAGAGGUGAAAUUCGUAGAUAUUGGGAAGAACACCGGUGGCGAAGGCGGCUAUCUGGACCGACAUUGACGCUGAGGCGCGAAAGCGU